Molecule: unclassified non-coding RNA, 220 nt
Filed under: plant metagenome
Description: partial contains small subunit ribosomal RNA, internal transcribed spacer 1, and 5.8S ribosomal RNA
Source: RNAcentral
UUUCCGUAGGUGAACCUGCGGAAGGAUCAUUACAGAGUUCAUGCCCUCACGGGUUGAUCUCCCACCCUUGAAUAUUUAUACCUUAGUUGCCUUGGCAGGCCGUGGAAACACCAUGGGCUCCGGCUUAUGCGUGCCUGCCAGAGGAAACAAACUCUGUUUUUAGUGAUGUCUGAGUACUAUAUAAUAGUUAAAACUUUCAACAACGGAUCUCUUGGUUCUG